UGUGACUUGUUUAUAGUUUCUAAAAUUUUUAUUGGUUUCAUUGAAAUUGAAAACAUAAGCGUUGAUUACUAUAAUUCUAGCUAUAGGUUGUGGGUAACCAUUACCACCCUAUUUAACAAACUUCUCAACUUAACCAAAAUUUACGAAUAGCAGCGGAAAGACUUUUUUUUCAAAAGUAGGCUCAGUUGUGGUCUUUAUCUUUAGCUUGUAGGUUAUACUUGGUGCAAAAAGCCUAAUUCAG
Long non-coding RNA from Hydra vulgaris (swiftwater hydra), 241 nucleotides. RefSeq lists it as uncharacterized. Lineage: Eukaryota; Metazoa; Cnidaria; Hydrozoa; Anthoathecata; Hydridae. The record is from RefSeq and is a predicted model, not a curated record.